Long non-coding RNA from Falco peregrinus (peregrine falcon), 12566 nucleotides. RefSeq lists it as uncharacterized. The transcript has 8 exons. Lineage: Eukaryota; Metazoa; Chordata; Aves; Falconiformes; Falconidae. The record is from RefSeq and is a predicted model, not a curated record.
ACUCAUCCCAGCCCCCCAGCAGGAGCUACCCCUUUAUCACUCUAUAAUUCAUUGUAAAGGCUCGCUUGAUGGUUUUCUACCGCGUGGCAAAACAGAGCAGGAUUCUGUCUGUUUUAGCUGUUUCCAACAUUAUUCAUUACUGCUAUAUCCAAACGCGAUCUUAGUUUGAUAAUAGGACUCCAAGCAGUGAUAAAAUAAAGUGAGAUUAAAAUAACUACAUAAUAAAAUUCUAGAUUAAGCUGAAGCUAUGGUAAAUCUUUCAUAGCUGUAGAAAGGUAAUAGCUAAGCUGCAUGGAUUCAGUAUUUUGUUGAAUGGCUGUGAUAAAAUGUGUUGAUCCACAUUAUAGCUUUAUGGCUGUUUCUGUAUAACAACCGUUACUACAGUUCAGCUGUAGUUUAGCACGUAAAGAGAUCUCCUCUGAAUUUAUAACUUGUUGCAUGUCUUUUGUUUGGCUUUUAUAAUCUCUGAGUAGCAAAAAAAAAAAAAGACUUGUGUGGUAAUAGGUGAUGGGUAUUGCCUUGACACAGGGGCUGUUAAGAAAAUGGGAAGGGCGGGUCCCUUCUUCCCUGAUCAGAACUCUUUGGUUUACUUGGGUCGGCAGGAUGCCCCUGCAAGUCCUGAUUUAAGAUUGUAGCUGUAAAGGAGAGAAGAGUAGGGGCUCACAAUGCGCUUCCUGAGCAGCCAGGAUAGCUGGUGCCCACUGCUGGGGCUGCUGGCCUCCCCUUUGCCUCGUCUCCCACACGUGGAGCGGCGUAUCACAGGUUUUACAGCCAGGCAGCUGGUCAUUGGUCCCUUAAUGGCAAGCUGCCUAAUGGCCCAAUCAACCUCCUGGCCACCACUCCCAUCUGCCAGCAACGAUGAUGUGACCCUUGGCUUUUGGUUGAGGCCUUGUCAUGGUUCUGAGGCCACUUGAGAGCUGUGACUCAUCUCGGCCCCAUUGCUGAUCGCCAGAGAAGCCUGCUGCGUGCCUGAUGGCAAGUGCUGCUUCCUGAGGGAGGAGGCUGCACGGCUGCCUUUGACGUGAUGCACCACCAGCCAGCUGCAGGGACCUUGGGCUGCUGCAUGCAUCCAGUACCCCUCGUGUAACAUCACACGGUUCUGGUUUGUGAAGGGCAGACCCAGGCCAGGGGAGGCAAACGCAGCGCUGGGAACUGGGCUGGGGAGAGCUGCCCAAGCCCCAGGCUUGGCUCAGGCUGCCUGUGUUCAGCUGGGCAAGAGCUGCAGCUGUGAUCACCCACAGCAGCGAUGGGGACUGCAGUUCCUCCUCAGGCACAGCAUCUGGUGCAGCAAGACAAAUGCUUCCUCCUUUUAUUGUGCUGAGCUCGCAGUACAGGCCUGCAAAUCUGGGAACCAAACUACUUGCGGAACAAGUUACAGAACUUCUUGCUUUGAAGAACUGAUGGUACUUUUGUGUUCUUUUGAUUUACCGUUUAUUCUUUCAGUUCAGAUCAGUGAUCCGGCGCUUGGCUCUGCUUAGUGUAUCGAUUAGUCCAGAAUCCCACCUGCCACUUUGCUGCAAGGUAUUGUAAAACUAUUGUGAAGCCCUAAAACAUUUCUGAAAGAAUAUAAGCCUCACGCUCUCCUUGCCAAGGAGCACCUCAUGGAGCAGCUUUGAAGAGUAGAUGGUAACUUCACUAAGUGCAAUGACGUCGCACCAAAGAUGGAUUCAGCCUGGGGUGUUUGCUGGCAAAUGCACCACCCUCAGGCCUUGCUUGUUCCCCCCAAACCCUCAAGUUUUUGUUGACUCGUGAGCCAGGAGUAUCCCAGAAGAGAGGCAGGGAGCAGGAAAUAACGGAGAUACGUCUGUACAUUGGAAAGGUAGGUUGCUCCCUCGGAAAAAAUUAUCCCAAGGAUUAGCAAGUCAUCAGUAGAUAAAACAGCACACUCCAGCUGAAGAGAGUCCCUGGUAGAUGAGGAGAUCAAGCCUGGAGGGCUGUUGUCAGAGAAAGCAGCAGGGCUGAAGUCUCCAGUAGUCUGGGACUAAUUCUGACCCUGCCUGUAAGAGGCAACAGCAGUAGUGGGUACAGUGUGGCUGGGAAGAGAAGGUUGAUUUGCUUGGCAGAAUAUGCAUUUUAAUUGCUCCUUUUCUUUCCUUUUUUAUGUGAUUUGAUUGUGAAUUAUGUUUUCUGCAUUGGUAAUUAGAGGGUAGAGCAGAUGGUGAGGUUUUGGCUGAAGUGAUGUAGCCAUUGAAAUAACUCAUACUGCUGGCUGACAAGUUUCCUAGGAAAGGGUGUGUUGUGCUGACGGAGAUGUGCUGGGAGUUGCUCUGACAGAGACCUGCCUGUUCUUUAAAUAGUCUGGAGUAGAUCUUUAAAUGAUAGAAAUUGGCAUGGCCCCACUGACAUCAGCAUCCAGGCUGGCUUACACCACCUAGGAAUCUGUUUGCUGGGGAGAAACUGUUUUGCCCGGACACCUAGGGAUGCCUGUGCUCACACUGCAUUGGCAGUUGCCUGCGCUGUGUUUGUUUGGGCGCCGCAGGCAGCCCAGGGGGUGCUGGCUGGGUUUGCUGCCCAGUUCCAAAGGGGCCACACCACAAAAGCCGUGCAGCACUUUGCUGAGCCCACGAGCUGUGGGCUUGCUGGGCGGCUGAGGAGGAGGGUGGUGAGCUGCCCUGGGAGCCUCUGCAGCUUUUCCAGCUUUGCCGGCUGUCCUGGUUUCAGCUGGGACAGAGUUUGUUUUCUUCUCAGUAGCUGGUUCAGUGCUGUGUUUUGGGUUUGGUGUGAGAACAGUGUUGCUACCACAGGGGUGUUUUUGGUUGUUGCUGGGUGAUGUUUAUGCUCAGCCAAGGCCUUUUCAGUUUCUCAGGCCCCGCCAGUGGGAAAGCUGGAGGGGCACAAGAAAUCGGGAGGGGACACAGCCAGGACAGCUGACCCGAACUAGCCAGAGGGACAUUGCACACCACAGAGCCUCAUGCUCGGUACAUAAACUGUGGGAUGGCUGGGAGCCGCCGAUCGCUGCUCAGGGACCGGCUGGGCAUUGCUCAGCAGGGGUGAGAGGUUGUAUUGUGCAUCACCUGGUUUCUUUUCUCCCUUCCCUUUGAAUUUAAUUCCUUCCCUCUUCUCCCUCCUUUUAAUUAUUACUGUUGUUAUUGUUAUUAUUAGUGGUUUUGUUUUAUUUUGGUUCAAUUACUAAAUUGUUCUUAUCUCAACCCUCAAGUUUUACACUCCUUCCCGAUUCUCCUUCCCGCCCCUCUGGGUGAGGGGGAGUGCGCGAGCAGCUGCGUGGUGCUUAGUUACCAGCCGGGGUUAAGCCACGACACCCUCCCAGGCUGGCACCUUGUACCCUGCAGGUUUGGCUGCCCACAGCUGGAUAGGCUGAGGGACAGAUAGGCUGAAGGACGGGAUGCAGGCAGAGCAUCCUACACAGCCAGCCCACCCGUGGGGGACAGCUCUUCACAUGCUCGGGAGAUGCCUGGCUCUGCCUUGUCCUCAUAUCCUGCACUGAGAAGCAAGACCUGGUAAUCCAAAACUUCAGCAGAAGUUACAAAGCUGAACUUUGAGAGAGAAACCUUGGGAAGGUGCUAAAGUUCAAUGAAGGGUGAAAUCCCUUUGUCUCUCUCUGUGUUAGCCAGACACUUCCAUUCAUCACCUUCCCGCUUAGUGAUUUGCAGUUAAAAUGUUGGAUCAGUCUCAAAACAGUGCUGGAUCCUAAUUGUAUUUUUGAAAGGGAGAGAAAACCCUUCCUAGAAAGUUGCUUAAAUAUGUUUUAGACUUUCAUUCAUGUCUUCUUUUGUCAGACAUGAGCUUUUGGUGAUGUGCCAGUAUGCAGAGCCAGGGAGCUGAGCUCCCAAAAUAGGCUCUUCUGCCACCUUCCAGCCUCCUCCCUCAGAAAGAUGAGGUGGGUUCCCUCUGCCUUUCUCCGUGCAGUUAGAGACCUUCUGCUUUCCUUCAGAAGCCCUUGGCAUGGUGUGUCUGGUUAACGAGGCUCAGGAAACGCUGACGGUUCAGUCCCUCUCCCAGGCUGGCUGAAGGACACGUGUUUAUGGCAUUUAAUUCUGAUAAAUGGCAGACAUGGAGUGUAGCCCACCUCAGCGCUGCGGAACACAGGACUGCCUUCCUGCUGAAAUGCAUGUGGAUGAGUGGCUUACAGCCCUGCUUAGCGCUGUCUGCCUCUUCCACCUUCUAGGAAAGCUGGUCUGGGAGGGAGACGCGGUCAGUGCUGGGUUAGAGCAAAGGCUCAUCCCAGUGUGGGACAGCACUGGGUAGUGCGCUUUAGGGUGGAAUUGAGGCUGUGCCUGCGUGCACCCUGCAGUGCUUUGUUUGCUGCGCAGAGGCAGCAGGGCACCACGCUGGUGUGUCCUCCUGGCCUCGCCAUACGCCCUCAGCAGUACCCAGGCACCUGCCCCUUGCCCUUGAGGCAGUGCUGAUGCAGCGCUCACAGGUUUUGAGGCAUAAAGGCCCACUGAGAAGAUCCCCGUAACAAAUCAAACCUACUUAUCGUGGGGGCAUGUGCCUGCUCAGGCAGGGCUCUGUUGGCUUCUGAAAUCCAAGGGAGGAGAGGUGGGAGGUUUUCAAAGGGAGCUUUGCUGGCCCUGCUGGCUGCAGCCAGAUGGAGGGGCUGCUCUGUGAUAGCAUCCUUCAUCUUCUGUAGCGAUGCGGUUACUUAUACUCUCUGGCUAGUGCUUGUAAACACUCACAGAUUUUUAUUUUUUCUCUUUAAUACAGCAACACUGUGAGCUCUUCCAUUUGUAAAAUCUAUCUGAAAAGAAUUAAAGAAAGAUAUUUACAAAUGCACACGCACGCACACACAUAUCAUUUAAGACAGCAAAUAACUAGGAAAGGCGAGACAGUAGUAAUUCACUCUCGUUUUUCCUCUGAUGUUUUUAAAUGCCCCAAGUUUUCUUCAUAUGGUUUAUGAUGUUAUCAUGCUCCUGUCUAAACUACUACCUUAAAAUACAUUCUGUGGGGUUAUUUUCUCCAUAAAACCCUGACAAUAAUAAUUUCCCCUGUAAAACCUUCAGUUCCUACUUGCACUGUAAUUUUGGAUCUGCCAAGCCAUCCACAUCUUUUGAUGGCUACCAAAUUGCAGGCUUGCAGGUACCCGCUUUCCCUGCCGCCGACUCAUAGGUCACAUUAUGCCACGCUGAUGACUAAUGCCCUGAGCUGCCAGAGGUGAGCUCGCAUCCCCGGCAAGGAUGGGAGGACAACAAGAGGUGUGUUUAAUGGAUUGUGUCCUUUUAAUACCAAGAGUGCUGUUGGGCCAGCUCGUGCUCUGUCUGAACACCAUGCUGGUGACCUUGAAAUGGGCUCACUAAAGGUGACGUGUUGAGAGCAGCCCCUCCCUGCCCCAAGCUGACAAGAAGCCUUCAGACCUUGAGGAGGAGGAGCAGGAGCCCACCUGCAGGUCACCGCCUCGGAGAUGCUGCCCUUAUUGCCUGGUGUGUGUUGUUGAGCUGACACUUUGAUUUUUGGUUGCAGCCCUCCCACCCUGCUCCAGCAUCUCCCCUCAGUCACCUCACACAUCUUGUAAUUUGUGCUUAGCCCAACCAGAGGCUUCUUGGAGGAACAGUUGUAACCUGGUGGGUUUUCCUUAUCUUUGGAAAGCGUUCCCACGUUAACCCCAUCCUGGUUAGGUCUGCAGCAAAGGCUUUGCUCUCUGAUUGCAGGUCUUGCCAACUCAUUUAUAACAAGAAAAACAUGGGGCAUUGCCAAGCCAUGAGAACAUCCUCGCAGUACCCGACGCUGUGCCUCUGGACAGUAUAAUUUUUCCUCUAGGUUGUUUCAGAUUGUCUGAGGAAAGCACAAGAUUGUUUUUUAGGGGAUUUUUUGUUGUUGAAGUCCUGGUUUAAUUUUUAUAUUGAACUUUCAGCUUACUGUAUGGAACAUUUUUUGAGCAUCUGAGGUAUUUAUAUGUAUGAGAUAAAUAUCUGCUCUUAACUUCAAAGUACACUGUUGGAGAGCUGUCAGGGACUGGGUCUGGCUUAAGCAGGAAUUACGUGCCCCAGGUUUCGAGAUAGAAAAAGCACGGUGUCCUGUUGCCUGAAUAUGUAAUUUGUCUUGUCCAACAGUUGCUUCAAUCUAGUCCCAUGCAAAUGGUAAUUCACCUGCUGGGACUCCUUCAAAAGCUUCCCGUGUACCUGCACCUGUAACCCACACAUCCAUCUGCCUGUGUGCAAUGGCACCGUGCUGAAAGGCAUUGAGCCGCUGCGAGAGCCAAUGCCUUUUCCAGUGAUACACAAUGAUGGUUUUGCCAGCCUCUACAGAAGGUGUGGGCAACCGGGUGAUGUGCAGAGACUGCUCAUGAGUUCCCUCAGCUCUAGGAUCCACGCUUCUUGCACGUCGGUGGAAACCUGGAGCAGUUAAUAUUGCUCCUCCCUUGCUUCCUUGUAGCUGAAGUGUUUAUUCCUGUGCGAGAGGAGGAGGAGACGGUGGCGGCCAGCAGCCACUGCCCCGUUCGCCCCAUGUUAAGGACUGUAACAGUGAAUCAAACCCUCCUUGCACAAAGGAGCUCAGGAAAUAGGGGCUGUGGGGUUUCUAACCCCCCUCCCCUUACUGCGCUGGACUGGUUUAGAAGAGGCACUGUAGCUGUUCGUGCAGGGCUGCUGCGGAGCUGCUUUCUGCCGAGCAAGCAGAGGGGUGUGAGGUGAGGAGGACCCUGGCUCCUAAGGCUGCUGGUGCUGCAAGUAACUGCAACCACCAGAGAGCAGCCCCUGGCCUUUGGAAAGGCAUGGCGGGGGGGGAGGAAAAAUGACUGUGACAUGAGAAGGGGUUGGGAAAGAGAUUUGACGGGGGAGAAGGAAGCGUAAACAAAUCUGGUGUUAAAAAUAAUUAAAACUAUUAGAAGAAAAAAUAAUUUGGCAUUAGCUUUAGAAGAAAAUGUACUUGUCUAUAAGUGCCUGAGACAGGUUAACUUAUAGGGUCUGGUCGUGCCUUUCCCUAAGGAGCAUCAAAAGCAGUGGCAAAAAGAAGCACUUUUUUCUUCUAGCUGACUUUAUAUGGUGAAAAUCGGAUGGUAACUCUCUCUUGGACAAGGCGAUUCAGCGGCAGCUUUUGUCACCAGGCCGGACCCAGCUGCGGUGCGAUGUGCUUCUGCCCCCCAGCAUCCCCUCCCUGCCGCGGGGCUGAGCCAGCUGGGUUCCCAGCUUCGUGUGUGAGUACAAAGUCGAUGGGGAGUGUCGGUGAGUGCAGGGUCGGUUGGAAGGUGUUUUCAGAGAGCUGCUAGGCGCUAAAGCUGCCUGAACCGAGCCCUAAAGCGAAAAGGGCUGGACCUGUCUUGUGGUGCGUGGUACCUGCUCCCCAGUGCUGUAUUCAGGGGUGAGCAGCCCCAAAGCCCUGGUGAUGGGCACACAGGAGUUUGUCCAGGGGAGCGAUUCCUGGUGAAGAUGGGCCGUUCAGCUGCUGCCCUGAGGCCAGCCCGAAACUGUCUGUCAUGCACACACUGAUCUCUGCAACUAAUCCAGCGGUUGCAUAGCGCAGCCCCUGUCACGUCUCUUGAGCAUCCUGCUUCACCACGCAGACAGCCCGUGCUUUAUUCUGGCCCCAUCACCCAAGGCUUCUGCCUAAAGCUCCGUGCAGCCCGCAGCAGGGCAGAGCCCACCAGUGCAUGCAGCAGGGUGAGGGCAGUGAGGGCAAGCUUCCCAGCCCUGUGUGUGUGCCUGCUGCGCUGGGACCGGCUCCUGUGCACCGCUUGAGUGGGAAUGCAAAUGCAGCCCUUUGCUAAAGCCAUUUGUGUGUUUGCUCGGUGAGGGUACAGCGGGAAAGGUGACCCCUGGGCUGAGCCAGGCAGGGUGAGGGCAUAUUCUGGGAAGGAUAAUGGACUGUUUUGAGCAUGAUUUGGGGAUCUAUAUGUUAAAGCCACUGCUUUGUCUCAGAUUAACUGGAAUUGCUAUUGCAGAACUGAACUGAGCGAGGCUUUCUGCCUCAUUUUGCCCUUGAAGCGCUGAUUCAAGGGGAUACUGUGCCUGUUACACUCUGGGCCGAGCUCUGCUCUUGGUGACUCAUUCCUCUUCUUCUUGGGGCAAACCCAUCACCCAGUGGGGCCCUUUCUCGUGUUUCUGGUUUGCUUUUCUCCUCUCUUUCCCCCCCUUUAUUUGUUUUCACAAAUAAAUGUACCAGUGCUAGCUAAAUCACACACCAGUAAAGUUUAUCACUAUUUUGGAAGAGCUAUUAGAAACAUAUUUGUCAUGGAGUCAAUGAGGGGAAGUAAAUUAGCAGGACAUCUCAUGGAUGAAAGCGUGUAUCUUUUUUUUUUUUUUUUUCCUUGCUGCCCAGUUAGCUCUUAAAUUUCUCUAAAGCUGACACUGAACAGCAGAGACAGCAGAUUUCUUUCUUCUCCUGCCUUCCUUUUAUGUUAUAUAUAAUUAAAUACUGUAGAGAAUAUAUAAUUUAUACUUGUUAACUAUGUAUGAUGCAACUUGUAAGGAUAAGGGUAAAACUAUUGUCUUUGUCUAAUCACAGUUCAUAUUCCAAGGAACAUGCUGCAUUUUCAUCCUAGAAGUGUAAUUCUGAAGACCAGCACCGAAGUAGUGGUAACAAAAAAAUUAUAUGGCAAGAGGCAGAGAGAAGGUCUGAGGAGUGAGCCCAUCAGUCCCAGUGCUGUGGCAUCGGUUGUCCCCAGUUGUACCCAAAUAAUGUACCAGCUCAGCACCAGCACCCUCCCUCCCACAGCACCAGACCCACGGUGGCUUUGGCGAUGGGGAGGUGGGUACGUACCCAUGGGUGCUGCCAUCGCCAGCACACACUGCACCCGGCGGCACGGCAAGGCUCUUGGCCAAUGUGUGGGACGGGCUGGGGGCUGUGAUGGGGGCGGGUGCUGGCAGCAGCGUGGGUGCUGCAGGAGCGGGUCACACGGCAAAGGGUGCAGCCAGCAGUGCCGGCAUCUGGCCAGGAGCCAGAAAUCCAUACAGGUGUGCCUGCCGUUUAAGAGGGCUGAUGGAGUGCUGCAGCACCAGCGAUGUAGCCCUGAUCCCUGCGCACACAUGCAGCUGGGCAGAACGUGCAGGCACUGCUGGGGUGGGCAUGCGGCUGCAGCCCGCAGCCGAGAUGGGCUGCCAGUGCUCUCCAGCAGGGCUGUGCUGGCCAGACUUGGUGCUGUACCCAAGCUCGGUGCUGUACCCGAGCUCACUAACCUGUAGCUGGAAACGGCUGAGCCGGCCUGCAAGGCGGGAGGGAAUGGCAAAGACCUUCAAUUUGUGCCAACGUGCACCAACGUUCUGUAGCAUCAUCCUUGCCCAGAGGCAACCUCUGUACUUGUCUCCUUUUUGAAAGUGUUUGCUUAUUUAUUUAUUUAUUUAAAUUGUGUCUGAGGCUCUGAAUAACUGACAGGGCAGAAGCAGCCUUUGCUUCCCUGCGAGCUUGCUGAUGAGUGCUGGAGCUAUUCUUGGCUCACAGGCAUCCAAGUGACCACACUAAAUGCCAGAACAUCUGGAGCACCAUCUGUACUGCCAGCUUUGCACAACACCUCAACUACUGCCUGGUUCUCCUCCUGCUGCAUGCUAUGUUGCAUGGAUGAACAAGUUAAGUUCCAGUCCUGUACAUCAGGAAUAAGCUUCAGUUCUCAUGCCCCGUUUAAAGGGUGUGCUGCUUUCAUCCUGCCGUAGCUGGUGUAAAUAACCUCAAGCCUCUUUCCAGGCUGUAGCUCACCUUUGGCAACAUCCUCCUGGGACCACUGGACUUACAGAGCUCCUCUUUCCAUGUAAUGUAUCUGUGCUCCCAGUUUGAUACACAAUAGUCUGUUUUUCUUCUUUUAAAGCUUACCUUUCUUCUUAGUUUUUAAAAUAAACAUUAACUUGCUGUUCAUCUUUUAUUUCCUUUUCAUGCUCUGAGCAGUGAGUAAUUAGAGCUGCAUCACACUGGAGAAAUUACAACAAUAUAAUAUUUAUACAGUUAAAUCUGCAUAAGUAUAAUAUCUUUGAAAAAUAGCAGGCUGCUCUAAGGGAAAUUAAUUAUCCCAUUGGGACAGUCAUUAUUCUGAAACAAAAGCUCUCAGUUUUCUUUGCCUGCUUUCAUUUUGAGCAUUUCUUUCAUUUUAAGUACUGGCCACAUACUCCAGCCCUUUUUCUCUGUGGCUGGAACAUAAAUAAUAAUUUGUUUAAAGCAGUGUAAAAUCUGUCUUGGAAACUUUUACAGAUAUCAUGAGAAUAUUAAGCGACUUCAAAAUUAAGUCAAAGUGAAUUUUGCAGAUCUGUUUUUGUGGCUAUAUAUCAUUACUGGUCACCAAGCCGGUUCAGCCCACCAAGUGUCAUUUUCCUUGGCUGUUUUUCCAUGAGUUGUUGCUUCUUUGAGGAACAUGACUCCAUUUAUCAUAAUAAGCAUUUAUUAGCAUCGUAAUCUCUACCCAGGCCAUUACAAGCCAUUGUAUUUAAGGCAAAAUUUCUUUUUUUUUUCAAAAGGGGCUGGCACUGCUGUACAUGGUGUACUCCAGUAUCUCACAUCUGCACACAGGCCUUGGAAGUCAGACUCUGGACCAGACAGCCAGAGGCUUUGAAUACAGCAACACGUGGCAUCUAUGGCUUCAAUCACCAGCUAACUUCUACAGUUGCAUGGAGCUACAGAGGGACGUUGUGGGGCUGGCCAGGCAAGUUUCCAGCAGUACAGACGUACUGUUGAGUACUCGAGGAACCCCAUCUCAUCCACACCCAAAACCUAUGGGCAAGUCUCACGUGCGUUUGGAGGAGCUUUUGCAGUCAAGGUGAAUUACAAGGCUUCUUGCUGAAUCCCUGACAGGUACAAAUACUUAGUUAUCCUUGGCUUUUCUGCUGAACCUAAUCAAAGCCAUUGCUUAUUAAAAUCCUAUUGUCUCCGCAGUGAAGAACAAGGACAAGCUUCUCUGCAGUGAUUUAAUACUUGCAGCAGUUCAGUGUAAGGAUUUAUUAUGGCCAGCUGAAAGUGCAAACACACACUGCCCAAGUCAUUACUUCUAAUUUGCCACUUCUUUAAAAAAUGUAUACACAAGGGUAAAACCUCAGUCCUUCUUUACAGUUCAGUGUGAUCUCUUCUCAGUCAGGGGAACAAAACAGAGCACAACCCCUCACCCUCCCCUUCAGGCAGAAGGACAUUAAGAUUCAUCGCAUUUAAAGGCAGAGGGCCAUGCUUCUGCUUUAGACUAGGUUGUUUUAGUGGGAUGGGUUUUUUAGUGUUUUUAGACUAGAAACUGGUCUAAAAAAUUUUAACUACUCAGAUUUAAUGGUUUAAAUUGCCAGUUUAAAUUAUCCAGUUAUACCUGUGAUCCUCUCUGAGAGGAUCCCUUGUCAGAGGAGAAAAGACAGGUCUGCUUCUUCCCGAGGGGCUCAGCCCUGCAGCCUUCGGUGCAUGCAGACGGCUCUGGACCCCUGCACCACACCUGUGUUGCAGCACGAACCCUCCAUGCGGGGUCACAUGAACUGCACUAAUUAAGAGAAUGAUGUACUUUUUUUUCCAGGUAAUGAGCUUUUCUUUGUGAAUCAAUUUUACAAAGGUUUCAAGGACUGUAUCAUAAUAAAUAAGGCACAAAGAUAAAUGAACAAGCACAAUUAAUAAAUGUAAUGUAUCGGCGCUCUGAGCUUUAAAACUGCUUAUCUAAUCAUACGUCUUUACUCACAGUAUUAAAACUCUUAUGCUACAAGAGUUGUAAAACAAUUAAAAAAAGCUUUAAUGGUUUAAAGAAAGUAAAGGCAAUGUGUGCUUUUUCCAGGCUAUAGGUGCUCGGUGAUGGGAGCUCUGGCUUGGCAGGCUUGCUGAGGACCAGCGUUUACAUCUCAAAGGUGAGGGGUCUGGAGCCACGUGGCGCCUGAGCUGCAGCUGGUGAGUGAUGCUUUGCCUGGUCGAAGAGGCUGUCUCCCUCCAUCCUUCUCGAGGCUGAAAUUUUACAUGGCUUUCAGGUGAAGGCCUUACCUGGCUCCAUUUUGGAGGACGCCGCCACAUUCCAGCAGCUGGGAAGAAGCAUCCCACCCCAUUGCACGCGUCCCAGCAGAGGCCACUGUAGCAGACAAAGUCAGCACCGUCCCUCUGUUAACAAACGCAUUGUCACAAAACCCUCAGCCAUGAAACACAGCGAAGCCGCUACCUCCUUGCCAGAGACCUUAUGUUUGGUAUUUCCUGUGCUUUUAGCCUUCUAGCACGCUGGUUCGGCUAAGCUGCAUGCCAUCACGGUCAAACUACUGCUGUGGCUGCAGCACGGGCAGCGGCACCAAAGUGCCCGACACCGCUGCUGAAAUACAGAUUUCAGGCUGGGGGGUGGGGGUGGUUCUCUUUCCCCUCCUCCCCAGAUUUUGAAUCCCUUCAGGAGGUCAUCGCAAAGAUGGUGAAGUUGGUAGAAACACAAACCUGACCUCUAUUCCAUGUUUUCUGCAAGUUCACUGUCCCAAAUCCGUACUUGCCUCUAAGCCAGACUGCAGGCUCUGGUGAUGACACAGUCACUGGUAUAGAUAAUUUGGCUCCUCAAUGUUUUAUUUGUGCUUUGAAAAAACAUCUUUGAGCAGUUUCUUAAAUGUCAUUCCUUGCAGUAUACAGAGCAGGCAAUAAACAAUAAAAUUAUUCACCUUGAAGAAACCAUCUGCUGUCUUAAAGGACAUCACCAGGUUUUUUUGUUGCUUUGAAUGGUCCUCUGGGAUGCUGUAAGUGUCAUUAAAACACUGUGUUUCCCAUCA